This 274-nucleotide ribosomal RNA is filed under the name uncultured bacterium. RNAcentral describes it as "partial 16S ribosomal RNA". It matches the Rfam family "Bacterial small subunit ribosomal RNA", at positions 523 to 796 of the family's 1533-position model. The record is from RNAcentral.
AUACGGAGGGUGCAAGCGUUAAUCGGAAUUACUGGGCGUAAAGCGCGCGUAGGCGGUUUGAUAAGUCGGAUGUGAAAUCCCCGGGCUCAACCUGGGAAUUGCAUUCGAUACUGUCAGGCUAGAGUGUGGUAGAGGGAAGUGGAAUUUCCGGUGUAGCGGUGAAAUGCGUAGAUAUCGGAAGGAACACCAGUGGCGAAGGCGGCUUCCUGGACCAACACUGACGCUAAGGCGUGAAAGCGUGGGGAGCAAACAGGAUUAGAAACCCUAGUAGUCC